GGGGGUAUAGCUCAGUGGUGCAGCAUUCGACUGCUAAUCUCGAGAGGUCUCCUGUUCAAACCAAGGUUCCCCCU
Molecule: transfer RNA, 74 nt
Filed under: Trichonephila inaurata madagascariensis
Lineage: Eukaryota; Metazoa; Arthropoda; Arachnida; Araneae; Nephilidae
Rfam family: tRNA
About the family: Transfer RNA (tRNA) molecules are approximately 80 nucleotides in length. Their secondary structure includes four short double-helical elements and three loops (D, anti-codon, and T loops).
Source: Rfam by way of RNAcentral